UAGUAACACAAAACUAAAGCUAUGACCGCUAUGAGACAAGUCGAUUAAAGGUGGGAGAAAGAAAUAUAACAGAAGAAGCAGAAUAUAUAAUUUAGUUACCCUCUUCACUAGAGCCAGACAAAGAUGACGCUUAAUAUCCCUCCUGAGAUCCUUGGGCAAAUUCUGAACUAUAUUCUCUUCAUCCACUCCGCGUGUUUCUUGCCAUUUGUACUGAUCAUAGCCCCUAACCCGUUCUCGGAGAUCUUGUGGAAGCAAUCGGUGAUGCAUCCACUGUUCUGAAUCGCGCCUUUUAACUCUCAUCUCCUCGAGUCGAAUAGUAAGAGACUGAAGGUAUGUCUGUGACAGCAAAAUACCAAACUCUUAAGUUACAAUGCCAUUAUCAGAAAUACUUCAAAGAAAUUAAAAGAAACAUCUUGUUGAACAACAGAUUUGAAGCGUUAUGUAAUUUUAUGCGAUGAGAAGAAUCUUAUAUAAGAUGGUAAUUACCUGCAUGUUACCAAUCAACAGACGUGUUUCUUGCCACUUGUACUGAUCAUAGCCCCUAACCCGUUCUCGGAGAUCUUGUGGAAGCAAUCGGUGAUGCAUCCACUGUUCUGAAUCGCGCCUUUUAACUCUCAUCUCCUCGAGUCGAAUAGUAAGAGACUGAAGGUAUGUCUGUGACAGCAAAAUACCAAACUCUUAAGUUACAAUGCCAUUAUCAGAAAUACUUCAAAGAAAUUA
This 720-nucleotide long non-coding RNA is filed under the name Nicotiana benthamiana. RNAcentral's name for it is "long non-coding RNA (NBEN_LNC028255)". The record is from RNAcentral. Lineage: Eukaryota; Viridiplantae; Streptophyta; Magnoliopsida; Solanales; Solanaceae.